RNAcentral lists this unclassified non-coding RNA (2446 nucleotides) under Apis florea (little honeybee). RNAcentral describes it as "radial spoke head protein 3 homolog, transcript variant X1". Lineage: Eukaryota; Metazoa; Arthropoda; Insecta; Hymenoptera; Apidae. The record is from RNAcentral.
UGCGCAAAGUUCACGGUGGUCAGCGUUAUUGAGUGGCCGCCGAGUAAAAAUAUAUGUGUAGCACGUCUGCGGCAUAUGUCGGUCGAUUCUAAGGACAUUGUCCAGUCUGUGAACUCGCUCGCGCGAUAGCCCUGUUGGCAAUACCGCUCUCUCUUCCACUUUCGAAGAAGUGGAAAGGCGCGAAGUAAAAUCGGUGAAAUUGGAAAAUGAUAAAUUCGGAAUCGUGAAAGAAUCAUGCCGGCGGGGAUUUCAGCGUUGGCGCCAACCGCCAACGGGGAUCCGUUCGGCCUCGAGGGUGGAAAGGCCGCGUUCACGAUCCUUCAGAAGGACGGGUUGGAUACGAAUCUGCCUCUCGUGGACGAGAGCGAGGACGAGACGAGGCGGAGAUCGGAUCCUGAGAGGAAGGCGAGGAGCGAUCCGACGUUCGACCAUCGAAGGCGAAUCAGCAGAUCGAACGAUCAUUUGGCCCGAUCGAGGCUGCAACCGAAUCCGUUGAGAAGGGAGUCGCGAAGCAGGAGUCAGGACAGUUGCCGUUCGGUGCCUGCUAUCAAGCCCAGCAUGACGCUGUCCACGGAGGAUUUCACCGAGGUUCUGAACGCCAAGUUGAAGAAACUCGAGGAGCAGGAGAGGGAGAGGGAGGAGGAGCGCAAGGGCGCGAGGAAAGGUGAGGGGUUUCGCAGAAAGCCGUUCAUCACCACGGUGAAGACUGGUGAGUUUCUGAUGCCGCCUCCGGAAGUGGCUGCCCUCCUCGGUAUCGCGUCGAACGACGAGGACACCGACAACUGCCCCCUGCGCUCCAAAUUCAAAUCGCUCGCCUCGCUUGCGAGGAAGCCGGAAGUCCGUCAUAGCAGCCACAUAGCCAGGUGUCCGACUGCCCUCAAGGCCACUGUCGACUUCACCCUCGGAAUGAUGAACGCGACGACCAUGGCCGCCGCCUCCACGACCUUGGACGAUCGAACGUCCAAGAUCGCCAAGAGGAACGAGGCGACCGACCAACGAAUCCCUUUCGGGAAUAUCAUGUUCGAUCGUCGCGUUGUUCGUGGAAGCACUUUCGCCGCCGCUCCCGUUCUUAUCGAUGGCGAACGAUCGAUAGCCGCCAGGCAAGCGGAAGCCAGAAGGAGAAAUUUGGCGAGGAAACGGGCCCAGGCAUUGGCCACGAAAAGUUUGGUGGCCAGAGCCGGUUCGCCACCCCCUGUUCCCGGCCGAAAACACGAGCCGGUGCAAACGGAGAUAUACCUCGAGGAGCUGUUCGAGAAACCGGACGAGGUCGAAGUUGCGACGCAAACCGAUUAUUUCUUGGACAAGCCGUUGACGCCGAAAUAUUGUCCGCAAAAGAUUGGAGAAGACGUUUCCACCCAAAUAGAGCCCGGUGACCUAUUCGACUUCGACUUCGAGGUGCAACCGAUACUGGAGACGCUGGUUGGAAAAACGAUAGAGCAGGCGUUGAUGGAGGUUCUCGAGGAGGAAGAAAUUGCCGCUUUGAAGGAGCAGCAAAGAAAGUUCUUGGAGUUGCGGGCCGCGGAAAAGGCGGAAACGCGAAGAUUGGAGGAGCAGGAGAGAAGGCUGAGAGAGGAGAAGGAUCAACGAUUGAAACAAUACGAAGACUCGAUGAUCGCUCAAAGGGAGACGGAGGAACGAAUUGCAGCAGCUACCCUGUUAACGGGAUACAUAGCCGAACUUCUUCCAGCUGUUCUAGAAGGAUUGAAAAUGUCCGGUUUUCUAUUGGACGAGAUCAAGGCUGGUUCGUGAGCACGCAAGAACACUGCUACUUUUUGUGAAUUAGUUAAUCUGAAAGAUGUCGAGGACGGUUUCAUGCCUUGGUUGAUGAGGGAGGUUAAGAAAGAGAUAGGGCACAUGGUUGAGAGCAGAGAGGUACUUAUGGAGAUAAUCAGGGAAAUUUUGGAGAAUCGGGCGGAAACGUACAAAAAGCUUGGCGAGGAAUACGAUGCGUCUAGGAAAAAACCGGUGACGGAUACUUUAGAGGACGGAGGGAUCGAUCCAAACUUCAUUAAUUACGAGCCGCUUGUCAUCGAGGGACAGGACGUUUAGCCAGCCAAAUUAUUCGGCCUUGUACGUUGAAAAUUGAGAGAAGAAAGGGGAAAACAAUUUUUAUCACAGGUUUAUCAACGACAUCACUGAUCAAAUCGUCGCCUCGUCGAAUUUUUUUUUUUCUUUUCCGUUCUCCUCCUAUUUUUUUCACCUCUCGGUUUACCGAAGCUUUUCGAUUCUCGUUGAUCUACGAAAGGAGAAACGAGCGUAUCAUAGUUAGCUUUCGGAUUUAGGGACACCUUCACCAGCACCCAGCCAAUCCCUAUCCCAGUGGCUUCUACAUUAAGCAGUGUACACAGCUGCGAAACAAAUCCAUCUCCUCCGGUUGCGCCCCGUGACAGGUCGCCACCGCCGCGUUUUCGAUCCCCAUAGCAAACAUCGACCACCACCGCCGCAC